RNAcentral lists this small RNA (1402 nucleotides) under uncultured bacterium. Its description in RNAcentral is "bacterial SSU rRNA". The stretch from base 1 to 476 matches the Rfam family "Bacterial small subunit ribosomal RNA", at positions 1045 to 1533 of the family's 1533-position model. The record is from RNAcentral.
AUGGCUGUCGUCAGCUCGUGUCGUGAGAUGUUGGGUUAAGUCCCGCAACGAGCGCAACCCUUACUUUUAGUUGCUACCAUUAAGUUGGGCACUCUAAAAGAACUGCCAGUGAUAAGCUGGAGGAAGGUGGGGAUGACGUCAAGUCCUCAUGGCCCUUACGUGUUGGGCUACACACGUGCUACAAUGGUACUUACAAUGAGAUGCUAAGAGGCGACUCUAAGCCAAUCCCAAAAAGGUACCUCAGUUCGGAUUGUACUCUGCAACUCGAGUACAUGAAGCUGGAAUUACUAGUAAUCGUGGAUCAGCGCGCCACGGUGAAUACGUUCCCGGGUCUUGUACACACCGCCCGUCACACCAUGGAAGUUGGUUACACCUUAAGGCAAAGCAUAAAACCUUUGACUACGGUACGAUCAGCGACUGGGGUGAAGUCGUAACAAGGUAGCCGUAGGGGAACCUGCGGCUGGAUCACCUCCUUAACCUAAAGCAUCUACUGCAAGCACUCACAACCUAUUGUUUGAUUCCACGUCAUUAGUGACUCGUUAGUCGCUGUUGGCGCCUGUGCAUAGACAUCAGAAGUCAGAAGACCCUGAGAUUGAGGUUAAGUCGUACUCAAGCUGUUCUCAAAAGUCUUCUGACUUCUGGCGCUCUAGCCAGAACCGUUUCUUCGGAAACAAGUCUGUUGGCAGCCCCAACAGGUGUUCUUUAAAAAAGUGUAUAAGUGAUAAAGCAAUUUUCCUGCGGAAAAUUGCCCCGAGCAAAGCCGAGGGGCCUCUACCAUGAGAAACCACGACCUGCUCGAAGGCAAAAACCAAAGGGAAAUUAGUAAAGUCUGUAAUCAGAAGAUGUUGUGAUGACAUCAGCUGUUUACAAAAUUUGACAUCCGCAAAUGAGUCGGCGAACGCAAGUUCAAUGACCAGGACAAGACCUUUUGCCAGGUCGAGUCUUGUUAAGAGAUGUUCUUUAAUAUCAGCAGUGUUAAUUCAAACGCGCACUGGUGGUAUGGCUCUUUAACACACUGCUUCGCAGUGUCGCUCUGGGCAGAGGGAACUGAUCUUCAUUUGUUUUUUUAAAUUCAAGAUCACGUUGAAGACAAGAAGCCAGGUUGUAAAACUUGAACUUCAAAUCUGAAAAGUGAUCGAGAGUUCGUAUAUUUCAAGCGUAUUAUCCGGUGAAAAACCAAUAGCUUUGAGCAGUCUCUGGCUCACAAAAGGUGAGAGACGUUAAGUUUCCUGAAUAACACUCCGUUAUCCAGGUCGUUCAAGUUAUAUGGUCAAGCGAAUAAGCGUAUAUGGUGGAUGCCUAGGCAGUUAGAGGCGAUGAAGGACGUUGUAGUCUGCGAUAAGCUCGGGCGAGCUGACAAACAAGCAUUUGUAACCCGAGAUUUCCGAAUGGGGAAACCCGG